Molecule: ribosomal RNA, 374 nt
Filed under: uncultured organism
Description: partial 16S ribosomal RNA
Rfam family: Bacterial small subunit ribosomal RNA
Source: RNAcentral
GUAGGUGGCAAGCGUUAUCCGGAAUUAUCGGGCGUAAAGCGCGCGCAGGCGGUUUCUUAAGUCUGAUGUGAAAGCCCACGGCUCAACCGUGGAGGGUCAUUGGAAACUGGGGAACUUGAGUGCAGAAGAGAAAAGCGGAAUUCCACGUGUAGCGGUGAAAUGCGUAGAGAUGUGGAGGAACACCAGUGGCGAAGGCGGCUUUUUUGGUCUGUAACUGACGCUGAGGCGCGAAAGCGUGGGGAGCAAACAGGGAUUAGAUACCCUGGUAGUCCACGCCGUAAACGAUGAGUGCUAAGUGUUAGAGGGUUUCCGCCCCUUUAGUGCUGCAGCUAACGCAUUAAGCACUCCGCCUGGGGAGUACGGUCGCAAGACUG